Rhinolophus ferrumequinum (greater horseshoe bat) is the source of this 7176-nucleotide long non-coding RNA. RefSeq lists it as uncharacterized. The record is from RefSeq and is a predicted model, not a curated record. Lineage: Eukaryota; Metazoa; Chordata; Mammalia; Chiroptera; Rhinolophidae. The transcript is spliced from 3 exons.
GACAGGGAGAAGGUGAAAUAAAAAACAAGCAGAGGACAAAAAGCAUAAAAAGUGAGAAAGGAACAACAGGAGGAAAAGAAAAAAUACAAGAAAUGGAAAAGCAGAAACAAGGGAAACAAAGUCUACAAAUGAAUUAAGUCCUUUUUUCAGCAUGGAAACUGACAAGAGCAGACCCAGGCAUGGACGGCAGUUCCUGAAGUCGGCACGUGGCUUAAAAAGGACCACACAUGCACACGGUCCUUCCCGAUGGCGGGCGGCUCACAGGUACGGGGUCGCUCCUUCUUCCUCUAGUCCCCACGGGGAGGGAGGUGACUCUGGGUGUUACCAUACAGGGUGGCUUUUUGCGUGGAGGGUGGAGGGUUCCCUCCUCAAAAAUGCCCAAAGCACCUGGCACAGGCCUGCCUUGCUCUGUAGAGCAGACGGGGAAAUACGUGGCCAAACUGCCUCUAGGUUUAUGUUCAUGGGCAUGUGUGCUCCCGGUAAGACUGCACUCGGGUGUGUCUAAGGGGCGAGGAGGGCUCUGCGGCUGACCACUGGGCCGACGGAUGGCAGCUGUGUCUACAGGGCAGCAGGGCCCAUCCUUGGGUGGGCUUCUAGCGCUCGGACAGCUGCAGUGCUUCCAACUCCAAGCCAGGGUGUGUUGGGGGAACGCGUCCACACAGAGGCAACUUCCACCAAUCCGUUUCACUAUCCCCCCACACGCCAGGGAGAGCCAACCACCCCCUUUUCUUCUGCCCCUUCCAUCUGCAGAGCUGGAGGAAGGCUGCCACACUUUGGACUGUAAGACUAAAAGGGAGCUGACAGGACAUGCCAAAAACCCACAGUAACAAUGCUGGUCAGAGUCAUGGAUGGGGCAGCUGAGAGAAGACAGUGUGCAGAGAGACGCCUUUGAGACUUAGAGAGACCUGAUGGUGACUCAAGGACGAGGGAGAGGAGCUCGGCAGGGACCAUCACAGAACCACAGGGGCACACGCAGGAGACAUGGAGCCCACCAACAGGGGCAGGAGUGCCUCAGGAACUGUGGGUGGUGGGAAGGUAAGCGGGUGUUUUCACAAUUAGAGCAGGGUGUAAGUAACCCUGUUUUAGUCACCAGAAGGGCCAAAUAGACAAGCUGUUGGUUGAGACCCUUCUCCCUUGCAGAAAACCAAAUGCAGGCACCACAUUUUCCUUUCCUUCAAGACCCUCACAGUGGUCUCCAUAGUGCUAUGUGCAUAGUGAGUCUGAUACCAGCUACACUUCAAACCAAAGCCAGAGACUGCGUGCGUGUGUUUGCGUGUGUGUGUGAAAUGCUGAUUGUAACGUGUUCUCCACAGACAUGACCGUGACCAGAUGACAUGCUGGGGUAGGGAGAAGCGUUCCUUUCUUAAAAAACACACUGCUUCAUAGCUGAUCUACAGUCAGCUUUCUUUGUUACAAAGUGUUGGUGCUCAGAACACCUGGAUAGAUUCCCAUGAAAUACUCCAUCAAGGAGCACUCUGCGCCACUUCCUGGGACUGAUGUCACAGCAGACAGGCUGUGGUGCAGAGCGGCAGUGUCCAUAUUCAUUAAAGGCACAGUGACACGAUGCCAAAACACACCCCAAAUAAGGAAGUAUGCACCUGCAUGCAUAUUGAAACUGUGUUUCUACACUCUGGGUAUCACAAAAUACAGCUUUUAAAAGCUUCCUUCACUUAGACCACUCCCUCAUAUACUCUUUCCAAUACAGAAGACAACGUGAGGUAACAGGAUAUGCAGAACAGAAAUUAGGAAAUGAAAUUAGAAAAGGCGUGUCAGGUAAAGUAAGUUUAAAAAAAAAAAAAGAAUUCUCCUAACAAGAGGCAGAAGGCGGGAUGUAAAAUCCCGGAAGGGCUGCCCCCUGGUAAGCAUGGUCAUGACUUUCUUCUUCAUUUUCCUACAUGCUCCAAAUUUCCUUAAUGUAGACUACCUUAAUAAUCAGAAAAACAACCAAUACAGAUUGUUUUAAGAAGAAGAAACUGGGGAGAAAACUGAUUGGAAACAUCGGACGAGGGGAGUUCUACCCAGACUCAAAUCUGAAAUGAGCAAAGGAAGCAGGGGUUCUGAUUGUCAUUUCUUUGCCCUUUUUGGAGAUGUGAGAAAUGCAGGAUUUGGUUCACUAGUUCUAAGGACAAAGAUGUGGUCGAGCUCAUGGCAAAUAGAAGCUAAAAAAGGGCUUUCAGUGCCAGGGGACUAGGUUCCUGCCUCUUUGUAGCAGCCACCACAUUUAUUCCCCCAAAACCAUCUGCACCCCCAGGCUCCAGUCAUCACUUCUGAGCGACCCCAGAUCUGCUCCUGGUUGGGGGCUUUUACACAGCAGGUCUAUCGUCUCAUCCUGACGGCUCUGCCUGCCCUCAGCACUCUGCAAGCUCACCUGUUCCAAUGUUUACCUUGGCAGCAAACUCACUUUUUUCCUCAGAAGAAACAUUUCCUUUUGAAAUGUGACCAUCAUCAGCAACUCUUUGGCACCCAGUCACCUUGACCUCUGGGGGUCGGUGACAUGUGUCACUGAAUUUUGAAAAGCAGCAGAAUGUCAUCGUACAGUAAGGCAUGUUUCAUCAGAUUCCAGUAUGAGGCUUGAAAUAAGUAUGUUUAGUGCCUGAUAGUUUCAAAACACUCUCAUGUGUGUUACUUCAUUUGAUCCUUACAUUGGACUAGGGUGGCGACCUGAUGAUGGGUCUUACCAUCUCUAUUUUCAAAUGAGGCAUCUGAGGCUCACAGAGGUUAAUUGUGGCCAGCCUGAUUAAAACUCAGAUCUUCCUUUUCCAUUCUGAACUAAGAGUCGGCCCUCUUUAAAGGGCCAAUGAGAGCUCCAGACAAAUCUAACAGCAGACAGCCACUGCCGGCAGAGAAGUCACAGAAACCCUACUGAGAAUGCCGGGCCGGAUAAGGGACCUCCCGGGAGGGUAAGUCACCUGGCUGGGGACAUAGUGAAGCCAGGACCUGAGUGCAGGCUUUGCCUUCCUAAGUUGGGGGUGCUCCCCACACGACCAUUUUGCUUCUGACCUGCUUGGACACCUCCUCCAGGCCCUGCCUCUUGUGUCGCUCAGGGCUGGCCCAGGACCCAGUAGGCAGGUGGGAGAAGAGAACAAUCAUAUGGCAGCUCCCCCUUCUCUACACUUGUCCUUCCUGUAUUUCCAUCUUCCUCCAACUUCCUCAAGACACUUCACCCAAAACACCCCCAUGCCCCCCAUAAGCUAACUGGAUGAGAUGUCAGGCUGGCUGGACAAAAAUCACCCCUCAGGACACUGAUCUCAGGCGUUCAUCGGAAAUGUGCAUAAACCCGACUUCAGUCCUUUUGGGAGUCAGAAUCCUAAGGUCCCAGCCCUGAGCCUGGGAGGCAGAGAAGGAGAGGUGAGGAUGGGAUUACGCAGCCUGGAGGGGCCACGACAAAGGCCAGGGAACACCAGGGACAGCAUGGGCUGUGAGGGGAGUCAGCCUGAGGCGCCGCAUCUCCAAUUCAGUCACUCAGGUCUGCCUGCUUCUAUUUCAUCCACUGACUUCUGUACUGGUGCUAAACAAAAAACAAUUAGAAAUACCUGAUAAGGACAAUGGGCUUCUAUUAAGGACAAAUAAAUUGUACAAGGAUGUUGGGGCACCUCGGAUGCCACCUGGCCCUGUGCUAGUUACACACCAGCCCUGUUUUCUCUAAGAGACAAGCAUGGAAGUGUUGUGAGUUGGAGGCAACAGCUGAGGGCAGUCACAGCAGGAAAGCAAGUUAGUGGGCCAGUCUCCAGGAUGACGGAAGCAAAGGAAAGUGGAGAACCGGGACCCGACCUGGAGCUGAGCAGCAGCCAUGGGGACGCGCCUGGGGCUCAGGCCCUCACCGCCCACUGGACAGGCUCCUGGUUGCCCUUGUUGGACAAAGCAGCCGUCACCACAGCUGGAGGGGCGGCUGCAGCGUGGGGAGGGCCAGCUAGGGAGAGGUCCCGGCCGGAAUGCUGCGUUUCCCCAUGGAAACACUGGUCGGACCUAGAAUGGCAGAGCCUAGUACUGUGCCCUAGAGCCAUUAGGAGGAAAAUGGGCUUAACAGCUGAGCCACCAUUUAUAACUGCACUUCCACAUGAAAAUACAGAAUUCCAAAUAACCAGCUCAUAAAUAUCCUACGGUAUAAUCCUGUUAGAGUUCAAAAUUGCCCCUCAACUUCCCUGUGGAGAUCCCGCAGCUUAUUUCAUACACAAAUCUGUAAAGUGCCCCCAGGUUAGAUGACUUCCCUUCCAGCUAUACUUUUGGAAAAUCCUGCACAUAGGAAGAGAUUCUUUUUGACUCUGACUUCCUUUUGGCCUCUGAACAAGCUCCAAAGUGUCACAGGUAGGAAAGGGGCACGCUUACUUCUCAGGUGUGUUUUGAGGUCCCAUUUUCCUGCCUGAGGAGCCAGUGUCCAUGGGCGGCCGAGAGCAGGCCCCACCCUGCCUGGGCAGCCUCCCUGCCUCACCUCGUCCUGGCAGUAAUGCCGCCCGCCCCUUUUCACUGGUCACUGACCCAGCACAGCAGCGAUGCCUUUUAUUCAUUUCAUGCUACAGAUACUACCAAAAUUUCGUUCUUUUCUUAGGUAACAGCAGGGACAUUGCCGCUCAUGCGAAGCUCAGCCUACCAGAUUAAACUUGCAGAAAGCCACAAGUUCAGGCUGGGAGAAUUUCUUGGUGGUUCAGGAAACCUCCUUGCUCAAUAUCAACGCCGUGACCCUGACGUGAGGCAGUCUUUGCACGGAAGGCUGAGGUGCCCAGCACCACACCCAGGGGCAAUGAUCAACACUGCGGCCCGACGAGGGAGUCAGGUUUGCUGGUUUCCAGUGCUGCAGAGUGGAAUCACAAGGUGCAGCUAUGUGAAGAAAAGAUCUGUAUUCCAUGUACUCUGGGCUCAAAAAGAGACUUAAUACGGAGUUGGAGCCUUUAUACAGGUAGCUGAGAGUCAUCCAAAGACCCUCCUGAAACAACGUAGUGUGAUGGGCAGAGCACCAGGCGCCCAGACUCCUCAGCACAGGACCUGACGCUGCCUGGAGCUUGUCUUGCCCACGGGAGACGUGAGACCAGCCCUGGGCCCCGCAGUGGGGUUUCUGUGUGGCCUCUGGAUGCGCGAGCAAUCAGGUUCCACAUUUCAGGCCUCACAUUUCAAAAGGGUAAUUUCUCCCCCAAAUAAUGAAUAUUACUAAGUGCUCCAAGCACGAAAGAUCAACAGAAACUGAAAGGGACCUAAUACUAGCAUCUAAGUUUUCCUCCUGGAGUGAGACGGGAACAGGGCCGGAGGACCCCUGCCCUCUGCCUGCGGCACACAGUGACUCUCUGUGGAAGGGACGGUUCUCUCACGCUUCACGGGCGGAGCAGCAGCAGGCCCUCUGUGGAAAGCGGAACCCACAGGAGAAGUUUAAAUUUUACACAGAAAUCAUAAUGAGCUGAAAAAGAGAAAGCGAUGAGACCCAAGUAGCAGGGUGAUAAAGUUUUUGAGGAUGGGGUAUUUUAUAAUUCAGAAGACACACUCUUUCUUUUUUGUAUUUAUUUCAUUUCCCCCUGGAGUCUACGGACAUAGAAAUGAAAACAGCCAACUACAUUUUAUCAAACUAUGGGGAUAAAGAAAACAAAACUAGACACACGAGGUAAUCAGUGUGGCAACAGUAUCUUGAAACAAGAGGGAAGGUGAAUAUAAUUUUAAAGAAAUGGGUUUUGAUAGUUCCUUCCAGGAGAUUUUGAAUUUUAAAAAAACAUGUUUUUUCAUACACCGAGAUUCAUUUAGAAUGGACGUAAACAUUCCCCAGGGAGUGUUAGUGGGAGGUGGGAAAGAAGUCAAGGCCAUUAGACAAGGAGCAGGGUUGUUAAUUGCAACGUAAGCAUCAGCCCUUUUACAGCCUCAAUGGCCAUGAGUGUCAAAGUCAUGACACACCAAAAGGUCUGGGCGCUGAAGGAGGCCGUGCGGGUGGAGCACAGAGACACCACAACCCACCCCACGAAGCCGCCUCCUUACUGGUGGAGGGUCCUAAGCAGGAACCACAGAACUCGACCUAUGGAUUUUAAAGGAAUGCGCCACAAAGUGACUCUCUUAAAAGAAUGAGAUUAUGGGGAAAAAUGAGAAUGAUUUCUGCCAGCUCUUUUGUUCCAAGACCACUGGUAGACAAGGAGCCUGCAAGGGGAGGUGAAGAGGUCAGAUUGCCUGACCAAGGAUGCAGGAACCCAGGAAGGUGCCAGGGUGCCCCCUGGUCACUCUCAGGAGCAGCUGUCUGGCACUCCUUUUGACAAAAUGGCAGCUUUUCAGGAGAGAAACUGCCCAGAGUCUAGAAACGAGACUCAUGGAUUGGUUAUUUCUAGAAUCUAAUACACAUGGUAGCUUUGUACAGCAAGACAUCAAAAAUAUUGAAUUCAUUUAUAGUAGUGGUUCUCCUACUUUAGAGGGCAUUUGAAUCAUCUAGAAGGUUUGUUAAAACACAGAUAAGCAGACCUCACCCUUAGAGUUUGAUUCAGCCGGUCUGGGUGGGGCCUGACAACCUGCAUUUCUAACAAGCUCCCUGCUCAUGCUGCUCUCGUCCAGGGGCCACACUCUGAGAACCAGUGCCUUAGACUUUUUCUGUGUUCACUGAAAAGAACUGCAAAGUUAGUCCCAAGACAGAGCAUGGAGGGAGGGACAUUAUUAUAGGCAUCUGUCAACGUAGUGUCAACCUGGCGCCUGGGCAGAAAUCACAGUGACACCGUCCGUGCACCUGGGUCCCUCAGGGGGACAGGAGUGCACCCUAAUUAAAAUGGCUGAGGCUGAGUUCUUCACAUAUUUCCUUCCUGAGUGUGGCUGGCGAUGAGCUUCCUAGUGGAUGUGACUCCUACAAACUGGGAGGGUGACAUCCAGGGCAGAGGUCAUUUGGCGUGCGUGCGUAAAUGCAUGUGAGCAGCUGUGCGUGUGUACUGCCACCGUCAAACAACCACAUGGUAUUAGAAGGACCAGGAGGCAGAUGCAAGGUUGACGGGUGUGGGUAGGUGCACGGCUCUUAUCAACAAUUAAGAUCACUCCGGGCAGCAAAAGCUAUCUGAACUCUCCCCCUGAGUGUGUGUAGCAGAGGGAAGGAGCUGGCACGCUGCUCCAUUACGGCUGGAAAAGGGCCUGUGCUUUUGCCUUUGGUUACUGGGUUGGCUUCUUGUUGUUUGUGAGCCAGGACUGGGCAGAGGUGGGGAAAGGGUGUCAGCGGGUUCGUCAGCACCAGGU